Molecule: long non-coding RNA, 312 nt
Organism: Melospiza georgiana
Lineage: Eukaryota; Metazoa; Chordata; Aves; Passeriformes; Passerellidae
Exons: 3
Source: RefSeq, a predicted model, not a curated record
UCCUAACUUUCUUUUAGUUGCAGAAGGAUAAAUCCAGGGCAGAGCCCCCCAUUCUGGGUGAGGGGAUUCCCCUGUGAAGGUCAGUCACUGUUUGUCUCUGCAGAGGAAGCAUAAAUUGUGGCUGCUGCAGCUCUGCUCUUUGUCUUUAUUUUUAGGAAGUCAAGGCAGAGAGCAGCUGUCAAGGCUGAGUGGGCAAGAUGGACUGCUUGCCAUCUAUCCUAGCCCAGCAUGCCCAUGCCAGGUGCUGUCGCUGCCCUAGGCAUGCCGGGGAAGAGAGGAGGGCAGGUGACUCGGAGUUUAGGCGGGCUGAUU